Danio aesculapii is the source of this 348-nucleotide non-coding RNA. Lineage: Eukaryota; Metazoa; Chordata; Actinopteri; Cypriniformes; Danionidae. The record is from the annotation of a RefSeq genome assembly.
AUGAAGAUGCUCUGUGUUCUGCUUCUGCUAUUACUGAUAGAAAAGGAGACGUUUGCACAGUCAAUAACACCGCUGGAAAACACGACACUUAAAAGUGAAGGAGAAACCGUCUCUCUGUCCUGUAAAUAUGAAGGAGUUGUGAAUAACCUGCACUGGUAUCGUCAGUAUCCUGGAUCCAGACCAGAGUUCCUUGCAUACAUUUAUGAGCAUGGAGACAAAAGUAAACCUCUUCCUCCUCGACUUUUACCUAAAGUUGAUAAAAACAGCAAACGUGUGAGUCUGGAGAUCUCUGAAGCUGAAGUGACUGACUCUGCGCUGUAUUACUGUGCACUGCUCCCUGGUAACUGA